Molecule: long non-coding RNA, 976 nt
Filed under: Junco hyemalis (dark-eyed junco)
Lineage: Eukaryota; Metazoa; Chordata; Aves; Passeriformes; Passerellidae
Description: lncRNA (ENSJHYG00000004796.1)
Source: RNAcentral
GCAGAGCUUUAUCAGUCUGUACACAACACUACAGUUUUAAUAUUGCAUUAUGAAGUCUCAGAAAUCAGAGGAGUCGGCUUCCUCAGCUGCUGUCAGGCAGGCACUGCUGCCUGAACACUGCGUGUGCAUGUGCAGCAUCCUCACAGGGUCAUCCUCUCUCUAAAACUCCAUUGAACCAUUCCCCAACCAUUGCAAGCUGCCCACAGGCUUUCACCAUAACCCCUGAGACACAGCCAGCACAGGGCAGCUGGGGAUGACCUGAAAUUCAUGCUGAAGGCAGAGACACUUCUACAUUCAAAGCCUCCAAUUUCCACUACCAAGCUGGUCAGACCAUGAAGAAGUGGGAAAUGGCCUUUUAUCUUUCAAAGUAGUCACCAAAAAUCCUGAAGUAUCUCUGGUGGCUGAAUGCCUGCAGGCUCUGGAAGCAAACCCUGGAGUAAGGAAAUUCUUGCUGCAGUCAUCUGCCCAAACUGUGCCAGAAGGAGCCAGUGCUCAAGGACAGCUGCUGGAGUGCAGCUGGCAUCCCAGGAUGGGAGCUCCUGGUGAGGAACAGGAGCAGGUCCGAUACUGGAGAUACAGUGGGCUGUGACAAAAUGGAACAGCUGUCUGUGGACUUCACUGUGUCAGACACCACCAUUUUACAGUGAUCCCUGUCCAAUGGAGAACCUUUGGGAGGAGUUUCUCUGCUACAGGCCAAUGUUUGUCACCUUUCAUUUGCAAAUAUCAAGGUAAGGAACAAAGCAAAUGCAUGAAUAUUUGUGUUCAAGCCUGUUUUCUCCUUUGAUAAUUUGAUUAUGAUUAUGUGUUUGCUGUACAGCUCUGGGAUUCCCUGCUGGACUCUGCCCCAAGCACUGGCCAGGGGCCCACUGGCUCCAAACCAGUUCUCUGCAUAGAAGGGUUUGCUCCUGGCUCCUUCACACGGAGAACUCAGUUUAGAUUGCCUGAAUCCACCAAUAAAACUUGGAUUCACCGGACA